RNAcentral lists this transfer RNA (77 nucleotides) under Acidimicrobiaceae bacterium. RNAcentral describes it as "tRNA-Ala". It matches the Rfam family "tRNA". From Rfam's summary of the family: Transfer RNA (tRNA) molecules are approximately 80 nucleotides in length. Their secondary structure includes four short double-helical elements and three loops (D, anti-codon, and T loops). Further hydrogen bonds mediate the characteristic L-shaped molecular structure. tRNAs have two regions of fundamental functional importance: the anti-codon, which is responsible for specific mRNA codon recognition, and the 3' end, to which the tRNAs corresponding amino acid is attached (by aminoacyl-tRNA synthetases). tRNAs cope with the degeneracy of the genetic code in two manners: having more than one tRNA (with a specific anti-codon) for a particular amino acid; and 'wobble' base-pairing, i.e. permitting non-standard base-pairing at the 3rd anti-codon position. Lineage: Bacteria; Bacillati; Actinomycetota; Acidimicrobiia; Acidimicrobiales; Acidimicrobiaceae. The record is from RNAcentral. RNAcentral also lists the same sequence under 1 other name.
GGGGGUGUAGCUCAGUUGGCUAGAGCGCUACGUUCGCAACGUAGAGGUCGGCGGUUCGAUUCCGCUCACCUCCACUA